RNAcentral lists this ribosomal RNA (789 nucleotides) under Pseudomonas sp. 9AJ. Its description in RNAcentral is "bacterial SSU rRNA". It matches the Rfam family "Bacterial small subunit ribosomal RNA", at positions 56 to 840 of the family's 1533-position model. Lineage: Bacteria; Pseudomonadati; Pseudomonadota; Gammaproteobacteria; Pseudomonadales; Pseudomonadaceae. The record is from RNAcentral.
UGCAAGUCGAGCGGUAGAGAGGAGCUUGCUUCUCUUGAGAGCGGCGGACGGGUGAGUAAUGCCUAGGAAUCUGCCUAGUGGUGGGGGAUAACGUUCGGAAACGGACGCUAAUACCGCAUACGUCCUACGGGAGAAAGCGGGGGACCUUCGGGCCUCGCGCCAUUAGAUGAGCCUAGGUCGGAUUAGCUAGUUGGUGAGGUAAUGGCUCACCAAGGCGACGAUCCGUAACUGGUCUGAGAGGAUGAUCAGUCACACUGGAACUGAGACACGGUCCAGACUCCUACGGGAGGCAGCAGUGGGGAAUAUUGGACAAUGGGCGAAAGCCUGAUCCAGCCAUGCCGCGUGUGUGAAGAAGGUCUUCGGAUUGUAAAGCACUUUAAGUUGGGAGGAAGGGUAGUAACUUAAUACGUUGCUACUUUGACGUUACCGACAGAAUAAGCACCGGCUAACUUCGUGCCAGCAGCCGCGGUAAUACGAAGGGUGCAAGCGUUAAUCGGAAUUACUGGGCGUAAAGCGCGCGUAGGUGGUUCAGUAAGUUGGAAGUGAAAUCCCCGGGCUCAACCUGGGAACUGCUUUCAAAACUGCUGAGCUAGAGUACGGUAGAGGGUGGUGGAAUUUCCUGUGUAGCGGUGAAAUGCGUAGAUAUAGGAAGGAACACCAGUGGCGAAGGCGACCACCUGGACUGAUACUGACACUGAGGUGCGAAAGCGUGGGGAGCAAACAGGAUUAGAUACCCUGGUAGUCCACGCCGUAAACGAUGUCAACUAGCCGUUGGGAGUCUUGAACUCU